Hermetia illucens (black soldier fly) is the source of this 675-nucleotide long non-coding RNA. RefSeq lists it as uncharacterized. The record is from RefSeq and is a predicted model, not a curated record. The transcript is spliced from 2 exons. NCBI's taxonomy places the organism in Eukaryota, Metazoa, Arthropoda, Insecta, Diptera, Stratiomyidae.
UCUGGGUAAUCAUAAUGCAAGACUUUAUUGCAUGUUUUGCAGCUAUAAAAGCGAUGCAUUCAUUGAUAUGGAGCGGAUUUGCAGCAACAGGUUUUCUCUUGUAAACAUUUCAGAAAUCUGUCGUGGCUCGUUAAAUCUGAAACUAGCAGGUCCGGUGGAAUGUUUUCCAGAAGCACAAAAACGGUCACGUGAAGGACCUGCCUUUAAACGGGGUUACCCCGGAAAAGCGUUUGUGGUGCGUAUAUAAGAAUAAUCUGCCAGUCAGGGUCUCGCAGUGCUCGCAUUUCCGACUUGCCAUAAACUGAAUAAUGAAAUUGUUAAUUAUUUAUUGUCUUUGCGCUUUUGUCGUAGAUGCUGCCGAUUUCUGUUUUAACCAAUUCAGCUACGCACCUCGAUUCAGUAUGCGUCCAUCUGCACGUGGCUUGAAAAAGGGUGGCUAUGAAGACGCAACUGCAGUCUCACAUGAGAAUAACCUUUUCACCGCAGUGGGAGCUGUAACGCAUAACAUCAAUGUCAUCUCAACCCCUUUCUCGUGCGUGGAAAUUUAUGACUUCCGAGUUAUCGAUACGAAUCCGUGGCUUAAGAGGACAAGAAUAUUAUAAUUUUGCCUUUGAAUAAAUAAACAAAAAAUAAAUUCCAAAUUAUAAAUUUGUACGAAAUAAACUAUAAAUUUAG